Molecule: ribosomal RNA, 31 nt
Filed under: Pseudo-nitzschia australis
Lineage: Eukaryota; Bacillariophyta; Bacillariophyceae; Bacillariales; Bacillariaceae
Description: partial 28S ribosomal RNA
Source: RNAcentral
NCGGAUCUCAGAUCAAGCAAGAGGACCCGCC